UCGUCUGAGAGUUUGAUCCUAGCUCAGGACGAACGCUGGCGGCGCGCCUAACGCAUGCAAGUCGAACGGGUCGGUCCGGGUUCGCCUGGGCCGGCAAGUGGCGGACGGCUGAGUAACGCGUGAGCAACCUACCCACUGGCGGGGGACAACCCGGAGAAAUCCGGGCUAAUACCGCAUGUGACCCUUCGGCGCAGGCUGAAGGGUGAAAGCCUUCGGGCGCCAGUGGAGGGGCUUACGUCCCAUCAGGUAGUUGGCGGGGUAACGGCCCACCAAGCCGACGACGGGUAGCCGGUGUGAGAGCACGACCGGCCAGAGGGGGACUGAGACACGGCCCCCACUCCUACGGGAGGCAGCAG
Molecule: ribosomal RNA, 356 nt
Filed under: Dehalococcoidia bacterium
Lineage: Bacteria; Bacillati; Chloroflexota; Dehalococcoidia
Description: bacterial SSU rRNA
Rfam family: Bacterial small subunit ribosomal RNA
Source: RNAcentral